This 867-nucleotide ribosomal RNA is filed under the name uncultured Acidobacteriota bacterium. RNAcentral's name for it is "bacterial SSU rRNA". It matches the Rfam family "Bacterial small subunit ribosomal RNA", at positions 58 to 922 of the family's 1533-position model. The record is from RNAcentral. Lineage: Bacteria; Pseudomonadati; Acidobacteriota.
CAAGUCGCGUGCGCAGUUGCCGUAGCAAUACGGUGAUGGGCGCACGGCGCACGGGUGCGUAACACGUGGGCAAUCUGCCCUCUGAUGGGGAAUAACCCGCCGAAAGGCGGGCUAAUUCCGCAUAAGAUUCCCGGGACUUCGGUCCUGGGAUUGAAAGCAGUAAUGCGUCGGAGGAGGAGCCCGCGCCCGAUUAGCUAGUUGGUGAGGUAACGGCUCACCAAGGCUAUGAUCGGUAGCUGGUCUGAGAGGAUGAUCAGCCACACUGGAACUGAGACGCGGUCCAGACUCCUACGGGAGGCAGCAGUGGGGAAUCUUGCACAAUGGGCGAAAGCCUGAUGCAGCGACGCCGCGUGGGGGAUGAAGCAUUUCGGUGUGUAAACCCCUUUCGACUGGGACGAAUGCCUCGCAAGAGGAGUGACGGUACCAGUAGAAGAAGCCCCGGCUAACUACGUGCCAGCAGCCGCGGUAAGACGUAGGGGGCCAGCGUUGUUCGGAAUUACUGGGUGUAAAGGGUUCGUAGGCGGUGCGGCAAGUUGGGAGUGAAAUCUCUGGGCUUAACCCAGAGGCUGCUUCCAAAACUGCUGUGCUCGAGUGUGAGAGAGGCGCGUGGAAUUGCAGGUGUAGCGGUGAAAUGCGUAGAUAUCUGCAGGAACACCCGUGGCGAAAGCGGCGCGCUGGAUCACUACUGACGCUGAGGAACGAAAGCUAGGGGAGCAAACAGGAUUAGAUACCCUGGUAGUCCUAGCCCUAAACGAUCAGGACUUGGGGUGCCGCCCGUUCGGCCGUCGUCCCGGAGCUAACGCGUUAAGUCCUGCACCUGGGGAGUACGGUCGCAAGACUGAAACUCAAAGGAAUUGACGGGGGCCC